GAUGAACGCUGGCGGCGUGCCUAAUACAUGCAAGUCGAGCGAACAGACGAGGAGCUUGCUCCUCUGACGUUAGCGGCGGACGGGAGAGUAACACGUGGAUAACCUACCUAUAAGACUGGGAUAACUUCGGGAAACCGGAGCUAAUACCGGAUAAUAUAUUGGACCGCAUGGUUCAAUAGUGAAAGACGGUUUUGCUGUCACUUAUAGAUGGAUCCGCGCCGCAUUAGCUAGUUGGUAAGGUAACGGCUUACCAAGGCAACGAUGCGUAGCCGACCUGAGAGGGUGAUCGGCCACACGGGAACUGAGACACGGUCCAGACUCCUACGGGAGGCAGCAGUAGGGAAUCUUCCGCAAUGGGCGAAAGCCUGACAGAGCAACGCCGCGUGAGUGAUGAAGGUCUUCGGAUCGUAAAACUCUGUUAGUAGGGAAGAACAAAUGUGUAAGUAACUAUGCACGUCUUGACGGUACCUAAUCAAAAAGCCACGGCUAACUACGUG
RNAcentral lists this ribosomal RNA (497 nucleotides) under uncultured bacterium. RNAcentral describes it as "partial 16S ribosomal RNA". It matches the Rfam family "Bacterial small subunit ribosomal RNA", at positions 28 to 507 of the family's 1533-position model. The record is from RNAcentral.